RNAcentral lists this long non-coding RNA (1453 nucleotides) under Homo sapiens (human). RNAcentral describes it as "HSALNT0285939". Lineage: Eukaryota; Metazoa; Chordata; Mammalia; Primates; Hominidae. The record is from RNAcentral.
AGGACCCCAGCGAGUACACACUAGGGUCUUCUUAAAGAAGUCACUUGUAAUUGACAGAGAGAUGGGCAAGAUAAAAAUUUAAAACUAACAUGUAAUAAACCAUUGCCAGUCAAAGAUGAAGCCCAUCUGAAGUGAAAACCCAAGUUAUAAAACAGAGGGUUUGAAUCAACAUGUACUUCUCAGGAACUGAUCAACUUAUAGAAUGUGGUGUAUCUAUAGAGCCAACUUUAAUUAUCUGAUAUUGUCUUAUUUACCCUAUGAUUCGUCAUUACCUGGAUGUUUCAGCCAACACAGUCAAUGGGAUUGUAUGUGAAACCUGUGAUUUCUACAUCAACUGGUCAAUCAAUGAAGAGAAAAAUCAGCCAAAUUAUCUUUUUGCAUUGUCUGGUUCCUUGACCUCACCUCAGCUUUCCCCAAACAAAUCAACACACAAUGGUUAUUUGACUGGACUUUUUAAUGCUUUAUCCACUUGUUUUGAUUUUGAACAAACAUAGACCCCUCAUUCCUGAAACUUCUACUGCCAGAACCACAGCUUUGCUUCCUUCUUCUUCAAGAUGAAUUGUAUGUUCUCUGUACCUACUAUAUGCUCAGCACUGUAUAUAAAAGAAAGUUUAAGUCUAGCGGCAAAGAAAAAGCUUAUGUAUAUAAAGCAAUUAAAAGAUAAUUUGUGAUAGUGUAUACUCGAGUUUUAAAUUGGGUAGUACAGACUGUGUUAUAUGAGUUCAGAUUAUAAACCAACUUACUGAGUUAGAGUUCUCAAGGAGGUUUUUACGAGCUGGAUGCGUUGGAAUAAAACUAACAUGAGUUAACAUUACAACCCCACUAUUUCUUAGCUACCUGAAUUUGAGCAAGUUACUUAACCUUUCUGAAAUCCAGUGUCUACAUCUGUUUUAAAAUAAAGAUAACAAUAAUAUCUUCCCCUUUGGGUUUUUAUGAGGAUUAAUCAAGAUAAUGAAAGUUAAAGAACUUAGCACAGUGCCUGUCACAUUUUAUAGGAUAGCCACAAGUCCCUGUGCGUGCUAGUUAAGUGUUAUCCAUAUGUUCUCCUCCAUUAGAUAAAUUUUACUCUUUCUUUAUUCUCCUUGGAUAUUUCUUCUUGUUAGUGGUUGGAAAUCAUUUAAGCAGUAUCUGAGAGCUAUUUUUGGAUCUUCAACUGUUGAUAGAUUCCUUAUGCACGAGAUUGUAAAAGAAAAAAUUUUCUCAAAAGAGAGAUCUUCAGGUAACUUCUAUUUAGCAUGUAUACAGAUUUUGUAGCAAUUCUUUAAGUAAACAUUAAAUGUAAUCUAUUGUUUUAUUAUCACUGUUUUUUUUGUGUUUAUUCAGAGCAGAAGAAGGGUAGACGGAGAAAGGGGAAAGAGAAGAGAAGGUGGAGGGGCAAGAAAAGGAAAAGAAGGAAUUGGAGAGAGAUGAAGAUUUACAUACACAUAAAAAAAUAGGGCAAGUAAUCCAGGCA